CCCUCCGCCGCCGCCUCAGGAGCGGGGCCGGCCCGGGCCGGGGUCACCGCCACAGCCCGGGCCCCACCGAGCCCUCCCAGGGACCCGCCGAGCUCUCCCCGCGCCCCACCAUGGCUCCUGGGGUCCCUUCUGCUCAUCCCCUCAGGCAGGACAGCGACCCAGGCCCCUGGGCCCACCCCUGCCCUCAGCCUGAAGCCCGGGCAGGGCGGCCAAACUCCAGCCCCUCACCCCCGGCCAUCACUUUCACACUUGUUUUUCACUUCAGUCCUUUCCUUGGCUGCUUCAGGCUCACCCGACAGUGAGGACAAAGCUGAGGGGCCACCAGCAGAGGAGGGAGGACAGUCAGUGCCCCACAGGCCAUCUGCCCCCAGCACAGAGCAGGGCAGGACAAGGGCUGGGACAGUGUGAAGACAGGUAUGGGAUCAUCCCUGGCUCCCAGGGCAGUGGCACUGCUUACCCAGCACACUCUCAGCCCAGUCCCUGCUCCAUCAGUGAGCAAGACUCUACAUCAAACCUAAAACAAGGGACUUCAAUGAAUGGAGAAGCAAUGGAGGAGCAAACAUGCAAAGUGCUGUCAGCCCAAGACACUUCGAGUUGCUCACUCUUUAUAAGGAGAACAACGCCUGUAAUUUACAGCCUGUCUCCCAGCACCUCUGGAUAAGCCUGGGGCUGUUUACAGCAUGUACAAACAUUAAAAAAAGAAAACCAAGCAGCCACCACACAACAGUCACAUGGAGCCUUUGACCUUCACCUCCAGGUUUACAUAAUUAUGCUCCUUUCCUCUGCAUUUCUCACUGCUCUCUGCCCCUCCUCUCUGUCCAUGUUCACCAUCACGCCACCUCCACAUCCCAGUUCAGGCUCUUUCAGGCCUCCCAGUUAUCCCCAUGGGCCCCAGUCGAUGCAGGGGGUGCACUGGGGUCACGGGGGCAGAGCUCUGACCCCACAUGGCUGUGCUGUGCCUUCCCCACAUGACACAGGCUCUGCUUUCAGUGUCACCAGAUCAAAAUAGAGACUGAGCGAGGAUUUACGCAGUUGGGCCUCUCCCCAUUCUUCACUUAUCUCCCCUCACUUUCUAGCACUCAAAACCAGGCACUACUGGGGCCAAUGUGCCAUGUCAGAACCUCUGCAGCUAAAGACUUCUCCAAAGAAAAUGCACUUAGAUUAAAAAAGUAUUCAGCAAGAGAUUUUUAAGGGAAGAUAGAGAGCCUUAUGAAGGACACUUUAAGCUUUAGACAUCAUAUGUCUAAAUCAUAACAUCAGAGGAAUACUAAGAAAUCUGUUUUGUGCCAAAGAGAACAGAAGGCCUUUAAAACCUCUCCAGACUGAAUCCCCCUCUAUUUGCUGAAGUUUUGAGCUCCCAUCCAAAAUCCAUCCGUGGCAUUACCCCAACAAGCAACACUGAGAAAGCAAAGCUGACCAAUAAUUUCAACAGCUCAGAACACCCCCGUGUAAGGAAUAAAUGAGAUGUAAAAAUAUUCCAAGUUAAUAAUAAAUUAAGGUGUUGGUAGUAACAGACACUUUCUAGUACUCUUCACAGUGCCCCUUUAAACCAGGAAAAAGCCCACAAGCCUCCAUGUGUUAAAUAUUCUGAUUCAGAAAAUAAUUUCCCCGAGAACUGGUUGUUUAUUGCCAUCCACAGAGUCUCACAUUCAGUAUUAAUCCUCUCAGCAUCAGCAUGUAUCCUCACCCCAAAGUCAAUGUCACCAGCUACAUUUUCGGGAAGCUAAAAAAAAUUAAUUCAUUCAGAAGAUGCCUUUUGAACAGAGAAUGCCACAACAGUAAUUCCUAAGCCACCCAUUCUGCAUCCCACUUCCAAACCCAGACACAUCUCCCUUCGGCAGCAGCGCUGCCUGAUGUCCUUUUGUCCUCCUAAUGGAGCUGGAGCCCUCGAGCAGGUUUGUUUCAGCACAGCAAGGACAAACAGCCAGGAGCGGCAGGGAGGUUUGACCGGAAUAACUAAACACGCUGCACUGGGAUCCGAGCGGGAUCCGAAGGCUGAGCUCUGGAACAGCGCUCAGGAGGCUGAGGGAUUUGCAUGCGGGUCACUCCUUCGAGCUAGGGCCUUGAUUGGUGUCCAGGAGAGUUUUGGGAUGUCGGUAUCUCCAGCACCCAGACUACAAUAAACCUAUUUACAAACAGCACCUUCACUUGCUUUUGCUGCCGAAAGGGGUCAGAGGCAGAACAGAAUGAAUUCACCUGCCCUUCCCCAAGGGAGCCUCGACACUGGAGACACUGGGACGGCGAUGCAGGAUAACCCCAUGGGGCUCCUGCUGCUCCUCCCUCCCUCAAGGAAUCCACAUGGAUAUUUGGCAUUAAGUGCUGGCAGCGCAGCAGCCCUGCAGCCCCUGGGGGGAUGCCCCGCUCUGACAGCCACGUGGCAGGACAAUAAAACACCCAGCACGCUCCAAAAGCACCACCAGGCAACGGGCACCAGUACCACGGGUAAUCAACCUUCAAAAGCACAGAUACUGUGCCCUGAGUUUGUUCAUUUUUAAUAGCACACUCUGCAAGAGCCACAGCCCCCUGACAGAGACCACUGGCAACCCAUAGCUUGGUGAGGACCACUGAUUUAUACAGUCAGAGUGGAGGAAACAGAAGAGCAGCACUAGACAUGGCUUUGUGGCUCCUUCCCAGCUGCACUACAUCGGUUCAGCCAAUUGGUCCCUCAGGUGUGACACAGGGCUCUUGAUCACAAGAGCUAGAAAUUAGCAUUGAGGAAGAAAUUAGCACCUUCCAGGUUGCUUGUCCGAGCGCAGAGAAGUACAUUUUCAUCUGGUAGCAGCUCCCCAAAACACAGACGUCACUGUCCUGAGUUUCCAUAACACCUUUCAUCCUCAAAAGCACUAAUGGUCUUCACAGCAAGCCAUUUUCUGCCAUACCGCCAAAAUGCAGCCUUGAGGUAGAAACAUCAUCUGAACAGUGCCUGGGUUGACCCAAAAAAAGCUGAGAGAAGCUCCUUUUCGUGCAGACAAAUGAAUGAAGAUCAUUUUCUUCCUAUUCAUUGAAAGAUUUUUCUUGUCUCUCUCCCCAGGCUAUAAACAUGCACAUGGAAAUUAAAUUACAGAUCCGGGAAAAUGUUCAAGAGAUCAUCUGAGUCAAGCAGAAAAGCAACGUGUGGCUCCAAGGACCCAGAACCCAGGAAGCACAACACACACACCACUUGCCAGCCCUCCUGCAUGGAUAAGCAGGACACACAGCCCCAAGAACAGUUUUCAUAAGGAUUCUAAGGCCUCACUUAUCUAAAUCAGCCUCCAAAGGGCAGGAGUUUGGCACCAUACUGCUCGCCUCAACGCUAUCCCAAAUGAUCUACUUCACUCUAGGUGUUCUUAUCAUAUCCCUUCCUUCCCUCCAUCAUACUCAGGAAUUUAUUAGACAGGUAAACCUUUCUCAGAGGACUGGCACGCUUCCCAGUCCUUAUCAUCACUGUCCUCCCACUGGGGACUUGUAACAAAAUUAAUGGUGGCAUCACAGCUUUUAAAGAGGAAAGUGUCAGAGGGCUCUGUGGGACAGUUUCUGGAUAUGCUUAAAAUUAUUCUUGUAUUACCAGUGAAAAAUAACGCCCUUGUGGUAGGAAAACCUGUGUGGGAUGUUUAACAAGUAACUCAGGAGGAACUUGGACUGAAACACAGGAGCAGAUCCCGAGAUUCCUUUCACACAGCACUGGAAAAGCUCAGCUGUUUCAGCAGAGGUUAGUGCUGCCGUUCCCAGAAGAGCAAUCAGAAAGCUCCAGCCUUACCUUCUAGAUUUGUCCUUUUAACAAAAAGUAAUGUCUUCCCUGUUAAUAACAACCAUCAGCCCUAAUUUGCAAUCUGCAAUUCCCAAAAUCGGCUAAUUAAAGCUCCCACCCCCAGCGAGGGAGGUCACGCGCCCGCUGCACCUCCUGCCAAGAAGGAGCCAGCUCCGAAGGGAAGGGCAGCAGCUCUCCAGGCGGGAGACUGCAGAGCCAGGCCCGGGAAGUGCCGCAUUCAAAUGAAACUGGGAGGAGUGUUACGGAAUUGCUCAGGAAUACAGCUGGAGCGGGGCCAGCACUUAGCAUGUAUGAAGGCUGGUGCUGUAUGAAUGAUAAAAAUAGUAGCAGAUGCUUGGAUAAGAAAAUACAAUUUGGUUUACAUGCAAACCCAUCACUGAGCGUGGUUCAAAAAUGUACCUGCUAUCAGAUCAGAGAAAGAUUAAGGGCAAGAGAGCUUAUUUUGGUGUAAACUUAGUUGCAAGGCCCUCUCUUUUGUGUUCAAGAGGUCUCACUUCCCUUUGGAAAACCUUUCUGCUCCAGCAUUAGGAAGGUGGGUUUUAAUCAGGCUCUGCUUGGUGCCAAAUGUCACAGAAGCAGAGUCUGAAGGGAUGGCAGGAGCACGGCCAGAGGGCACAGCAAUUGCUUUGGUUUGGAAAUCAGGGGACAAGGUACACUGAUUUAUUUUAGGUACACCUACACACAUGCACAGCCAAGCCAGCUCCCACAGGCAGGACUGCCUCCCUCAGCUCCAAUACAGCCCUGCUUCCAACACAAAACACAGCCAGCACUGACAGGGCACAGUGACCCCGUGCAGCACUUCAGGGAAGGAAGCAGAGAACGAUGCUUGUUCCCCUGCAAAGAGCCACACCAGGAGCUGCUGCUUUCAGCAAGUCAGACCUGGGGACACAGAGCUGAAUUCCCAAGGGUGGACUGUUUUCUUUAGCACAAGCAUCCCAAAAAACUUUCAAAACAGGCACACUUCCUGGCCACUACCAGAGACCUGCUCCUCUCCUUCCCAAGGGCACAGCAGUCUGGGGAGGCAGAAUUAUCAGCUACAGUUUUAAAUCACCCUGUCCCACAACAUUUACCUCAGUGCGUUAGGAAAGGUUUUGUUUAUGCAGAUUGGAUGCAACACGGCCUUCACUGUCAGCAAGAACCAGCUGGAAGAAGCACAUUAAUGAAAGAGCAGCUAGGGGAUACUGAGGUCUUCCAAAAGAUCCCACAAAGACAGAGCCUGCUGACUUCGCUGGCAAAAAGAGAAACAACAGGAACCACAAAUUGUCUUCUCAGCCAUAUCAAAGAUUUAACCCUUUGUUCCAGUCUUUUUCUCCCCUGAACACUUGCAAACAAGCAAAUGGCCAUUACUGCACCAUCCCCUCUUAAUUCUCCAAAGCAAUCCUGCCAGCAAGAAAAAAGUCCUAAAAUGCGUCUUCUGCAGCUGGGAAGCAUCUGAGACUCAAACUCCCACUCUGAGUUGUUGUAAUCACUGAGUAGCAACUGUAGGAUGAGGGCUAUGAAGAAUGUUUUGACCUUCAUAUUAACCUGCUGCAACUAAAUUUGACAAUAUAAUUGUCUGCUCCUUAGUAAUCACAUCUUGAUUUUCCCUGUUUCAUAAGCAUCCUGGAAAUAAACACAAAUCCAGGUCUAUUCGUCUCAUGAUGGCUGGAAGCCUGAACUGACUUAUAAAAAGGCUCAUAAGCAAGUUUAGAAAUACACAACUGACAGUGUGAAUCCCUCUCACCCACUGGGCAAGUAAAUGCACUUAAGAAAUUCCAGAAGGAGCCAACUCUGUGCAAUGGAAGUUUUGCCAUUUACUGUGACAGUCCCAGUCCUGCUGUCAGCACAUAUCCAGGGCAAGGGACAAACACCACCCCAAAUGCCAGCUCCAUUCUUCCCCUUCCCCACCCUAUCCUUCCUUCCCCCCUGAGCCAGCGGUGGAUGGGAAAUGGAUGCUUCCUCCCCUGUUCAGAGGCACAAGUGUCUCAUUUCCCCAUUUCCAAGAGCUGUUGAGACCUGAAAACUCUGCACAGCUCCAGCAGUCAUUUGAAGUCCAUGCACGUUGGACCCUGAACAGACGAGUGAAGGAGUUAUCCUUUGUGGACGCAGAGAAUCCACAGAUAAUGCUCAGCACAGCCCACAGGGAAGUGGGCUGAGUGGAAAGGCAAAAUCUUACUGCAAUAAGGAGAAGCCCCAAGACCUUAUUCGCAGCAGAUCUUUGUCCCAGACACGCAGCCGAGCACAAUUCUGCAAUGUAAUUGAUGUCCUGAAUUUUCCCACUUCUCUCUCUGAAGGUCACACAGGGACAACCCUUUCAGUUCCCACUAAAUCCCUCUUCUCCAUAGGAUUCUUCACACAGCCAAGAAAGGGCAAGAGCCAUCCCUGCCCUUCACUUGCCCCUUUCAAGGCAGAGGGCUUCUGUGAGGUUGAAAUUCCAAUAAAAAGCCAGUUGAGAUGCAGGCAGAUGAGAUAUCCCUCCUGUAAUGUUCAGAGGAAAUCAUCCUGCAAAGCACAGCUCUUAAUAAGAACUAGAAUUAAAAUUUCCUUAAAUAAAUAUAAGGAAAGAGUCCAAGAGGGAGAGUAGCCAACAGGAACAGGGAGUCGUGCUCGGGUCGGCCUCCGUCAUCCUUCCCCUUGGAGAUCUUCCAGGCACGUUGUGCCGAGGACAGGACCAGCAGCUUCGUGUCUCUCUUCCUAUCGACGCCAUCUGCAAAUGGAAAGAACUGCUUUGUCCCUGUGGUUGGGCACCAGUGCUGCCCACAGGCACCAUAUGGGAGCAGCACAGCAGGGCCCAGGGACUGGGUUCACCAGCCAUGGUCAAAUGGCAGCCAGCUCACAGGAAUUUGUCCAUCUGCAUAACUGGGAGAGGGAGCAAGGUGAGAAAUGAAGGUCUGACCAACUGGUACAAAUGUUCUUUCCCCUCUCCAGGAGCCAAAAUAUCUGAGUCAAAUUUCACCCAGACUGCUCAGCUACAGGGACUCUGCUUUCUAGUCAGCUGCCAAGGGACAGCAGCAGCUCCUGCCCUGAGGGAGGUCAGGUCUCCAAGCCAGAGUGUGACCCAGCGCUGUGCUCUCUGCAAGGACAGAUCAUGCCCUAACCAUGCAGGUCUCUGCAAGGAGCCUGUGGCUCUGAGGGACACAGAGUAGCUGCAACAUCCUCUAUGGACAGACAACAGGUUACUUACAUCCUCAAACACUUAUCCUUCCCUCCACUCGCCACCCUCUGUCCGUCCGGGCUCCAAUCCGUUGCGUACACCUGAUGUCACGGAAAAGACAGUUAGUUCUGCUGGGAGGAGGAGUCACUCCUGCCUCUCUCAAACACCAACACCUCACCUCAACCAAACAGCUCACCUCAUCUGCAUGGCCAGGAAGAUCGAUGGCCAGUUUCUUUGUCUUGGCAUCCCAGACCUUGAGGGUGCUGUCGCUGCUGCCGCUCACCAGCAAGCGGCUGUCGGCCGACCAGGCGAUCUGGUACACGGCCGAGACGUGCCCCCGCAGCGAUGUCAGGUACCUGAGCACAGCAGAGCACAAGCUGUUAGAGCAGCACGGCUUGUUCAAACCUGCCCUGGUCUUCCUGUUUCUUCUCCACCCGUGAGCAAACCAGCCCAGUCACAAGAUGCUCAGCACACCCCAGCCAGUCAACUGCGAGACAGAGUCCACAGAUUGCUCAGUCCAUCUAAAAACCCUCCCAGGUGGACUCAGAACCUUCUGGAGGAUGACUCUUCAUCUCACCUCAUCUGCCAAGAAACUCUUACCCAGCAGGCAACGCUACAGCCUUACUGCACAGAUGCGUUCUUCCUUUUUCUGGCCAAGCAGCCUGGAUUUAGAGGGAUCUUUAAAAUUACUGACAGGAAUGCCAAGCUCACGAGCAUAAAGGUUGCUCUGCAGGGAAGGACUGCUGCCCCAAGAGCUCACCAGUACUCCAGCUGAAGGCUAAAAGCUGGAUUCCAGGAGCAUCCAAACACCAACAGCACCACUUGUAACUACAAGAAUUUGCAUCAUCCAGAACAAGCUGUUCUCUGGCACGGGAACUGUUUAAACUGGGUCAGUCUACAGUGCCCAACACACACAUCUUCAGGAGAUCAGCCGAGUGGAACAUCCCAUCCCACUGCAGCUCAGAGAACUCACCCUGCAGCAGACUGUGUGUGCCACAGGUGCCAGGCAGUGCUGUGGCUGGGUGGCAGUGGCGCUGCACACACACAGCCAAGCACAAGAAGACCCCCUGACACAAGAAGAGCCAGACAAGGGACUUCCCAAGGGCAGAAAAAGACAGAGGCAGCAGAAUGACUUUGCAUGAGUUCAGGCUGCUGAGAUGCUGAACACAGCAGGGGGCUGCUGGCAAUGACACUGGAGCCCACCCCUGCAGACCCUAUACUAGCAACAGAACAAAACAACUCACUUUCCUGUCCUACCAUCCCAGAGCUUUAUGGACUUGUCAAAGGAAGCACUGGCUAUUAUCCGGGUGUCUGGCGAGAAGAGGACUUGGUUGAUCAAUGCCUGGUGGCCUGUCAUUCUCUCCAGCGGCUUCUUGUCUUCUGCUGGUCUCCAGAGAAACAGGGUGAAAUCAUCUGACCCCGAGACGAGCCUUUCUGGUUCCUGGCCCUGAGAAAGGGAGGAAAGAGCCCAAGUCUUGUAUGGGCCAGGUGUGGAGAGCUUGGAAGCACACCAGUGUUGGGGCCCAGAGCCCACUGUGCACAUUUACUGCUUCCACCAGUGGCAGUGUUAGAAAUGACAGCAGGGACAAAGGGGACUCACCCGGACUUGGUUGUACCUUUGCUGAGCCUUGUCCUUCAGUUCUGCCACUGAGAAAGGGAAAAGGAGAGGGGAAGAGAGAUAUGCAAUCCGGAGAAAGGAAACUUUAUAACCCUGAGAUGCCAAUUCCAAUCCUGGCUCCGUGGGCCAAGCAGACGCAUUUGUGACUUCUCACCCACCUCCUCUUUGCCAAGGGCAAUUUGGGAGCAAAAGCCCUUGGAAACAGAGCGACCUUCCCAUCCCCCAGACUGCUCGGCCCUGGCAAGGGCGAGGAAGAUCACAGCUGUCAGCACGACCGACAUGAGCACAGGACCUGCUCCCAGCUCCCAAGGUUGCUUUGGCUCGUGGCAACAUGGUAUCAGGUCUCCCCUUUAUCCUCCCCCCUGCCUCCCCCCGCCUGCAAGAGGGUGCUGCACUCACGGGAGCCGCUGACGUCCUGUGGGUUGAUCGUGGCCUCGGCGGGUUCGAAGGCCCCGGUGCGGAGGACGUAGUCGGUGCUCAGGGCCAUGGUGUUCACCCAGUGAGCGUGGCCCUGCAGGCUGCGGCACAGCACCCCCUGGGGACACAACCACCCCUCAGGGAGGGAGGCAGCACACAGCCAGGCUGCCCAGCACCCACCAGACCCACCGGGCUGCAAGGACCAACACCAAACUUUCCCAGCCCUCUCGCCCAAGCAGCAGGCAGGACUGCGGCAGGGAAGAAACGACACAGUUGAGCUUCAGGAAUCAGUUUCCCACAGGAGCUUGAGGACACCCACCAGCACAGGUUGCCUCUGGGAUGUUUCCAGCUUUUAGCCCCAUUUAAUGCUCUUAGAGAUGAAAAUAUUGCACAACAGCCACCCCUUCCAAAUUGUGUCAAGCAACAGGUUUUGAUAGGUCAAGAAGAUACAGCACCUGCUCUGCAGCUCUGUUUUCCAGGGCACAAGCUGUGCCAGGAAGAGCAGACAAAGCUACCACACAUUGUGCCCAGCCCCCUUUGCCAGCAGCCCCGGGGCUGCUGCCUCACUCACAUCCUGGCUCCUCCAGACUUUGAUGGUCCUGUCCUGGGAGGAGGAGUAGAUCAAGCCAUCACCCCCCCACUUCACACACGUCACCGACUGCGUGUGGCUCGUGAGGAUUUUGUCACACCUGCCCAUCAGUGUGUCCCAGAUGCGGACGCUGCCGUCCUUGGAGGCACUCGCCAGGUAACGACACUCUGGGUUUCUGGGGAAAAAGAAGAUCAAAUCCAUUUGUGCAGCGCACACAGCUCCUCCACCAAGCUCUUUCCCCACCACCCCCAGCGGAUUCAAGGGUCCAGAAGUCAAUAAAAUACAACUGUCUUUUGGCUUAAGAUCUGCAAGAGGCCAGGCAGGGGCAGAGCACUGACUUACAGAGACCAAAGUCCCACAAAGCAGGGGAGAGGCAGACAAAUGAUUCCUCCAAACCAGCUCCUGGGCUGCACACUGGAGGCAUUAAUCCAGGGUAAACCUGGCACCUGAGCCCUUGGUAAUGACCUUGUUUGCACAGGGCACAGCUUUAACCAGCUGGCUUAAGAGGGCACCCCAAAACUGGCACCUUCCCCAGGCACUGGCUGGGGAGAGCCCUGGGCAGGGGACCAGCCUCACCAAGGCAGUGCAGACCAGUGGCAUUGGGAAUGCACUGGAUGCUCCCCUGCCUAUGCCAUGCUUAUCUCCAGCCUGUGGACACAGUGCUCCUGUGCUGGCAGGACUGAAAGGAGCAACGUCCAUCCACGUGGCUUAGGGGGACAAAUUUAACACAUCUGGAAGCAGCUGGCACAACCCAUCAAGGACAGGGGAGCCACAACCCUCUGUCCUUUGCACAACACCUUCAUCGCUCAGCCUGGUGCCAUGAGGAGCAGUGAGGAAGAACAGCCCCUCCUGUUGCACUGGGACUGGCUGGAGAAAAGAGAAGUGCAGCCCUGCCAGGGUCAUGUCUCUCCUCUCCAUUUCCUCGUGCUCCUUUACAGUAAUUUUUCGCUAAUCCAGUUAAUUGUUUGCAAAUAGCUGGAGCUUCCUACUGGCAAAUUCAAUUUGCAGGGCCCUGCACUGAAGGGACCCUUUUUUCUUUCUUUUUUUAUUUAUUUCUAUAAUGUCUUGGAUUAUUGGCUAUAACUGCCCCCUCCACCCACCUCUCCCAGAGGGAGCUUUAGCUGAUCAAAGGGAUAAGGGGAUUGCACAGUUAAUCAUCCCUCAUGAUAAACAAACAGGAUGACAGAGGCCAGCAGGAUCAGGAGAGCAGGAGGGAAUGCUCUGCAGAGCCUGCACCUGGAGACCUCCAGGCUUCCCUGCUCCCAGCUCAGCAUGCCACAGAGGAGCACACCAAAUAUUUGUCCAGCACCACAAAAGCAGUGCUUUCCAGAGGCAGGUAUGUCUUUUACACAGGGGGAAAGAGGCACAGCCUGGCAGUGACUUCAUGGCUGGGGCUCCUGGCUCUCCCAGCUGGACACAUUUUUCCCAGCCCACCUUGGGAGCCGUUCUCCUGCACAUGCUUUUUCCCAUAACAGGAGAAAGGCAAACAGGAGCAAUGCCCUUCAGGUCAGGCUGCUCUUUUCCAUAGGAGUCAAGGGGAAGGGCUGGGCUGGCCCUUCACUUACAUGUGGAGCGGUUCCCAGCACAGACAUGUGAUCCAUUUGGAAUGGCCAGACAGCACCCGGCCGAUCUGGCUGCCCGUGGCUGGGUCCCAGAGAAAUAUCUGUCCAAGAGAGGAAGCGAGAGGGUCACGUCAGGCCACAGACAUCAUGUGAAUCCCAGGGACGCUGGAGCUCCAUUUAGGAAGCAAAGGUGUCCCUGGUGUCCGCUGAAACUGGCAGAGGCAGGGAGGAGCAAGGGAAGGGGGCUGGGUGCCUUUCCAGAUCCCUGCAGCCGUCAGCUGACACCCAAAAGAAUGAGAGCUGACUGCCCUCCUCUCUGCCUACAGCGCUGCUGCUACAAAUUAUCUGACUAAAUUAUCUGACUCAACUCAAAACGGAUACAGGUCCCCAAAAAGCCACCCUGUGCCAGAGACUCAGUGAGUGUUUGCAGAGCGCGACGAAAGCCACAGCGCACUAAGUGCUGCUUAUUAUCAGAUUCUGUGGGUGGGACACAUGCUGGUUUUCUCUUGUUGAUUCUCUCUCUACAUAAAUGUUCAUCUAAAGAGCCAAGGUAUUAGUCAUCUCCUACUUGAGAACCUGGGAAAAAUAGGGAAAUAGAGGACAAGAAGCUCCCUGGGUUCGAUUAAAGCCAGACCAGCACCAAACCACAGCAGAACCACCCUGGCCCAGUCUUGGGGAUGGAAUCACAACCUUGGCAGUUCCAUGGCUGCUCUCACUGCUCCCAGAUUGUUCGAAGGUCAGAGUGAGCCACUGCCCCUCUACAGCUCAGCAAGUUCCUGACUCGCGUUUAGCUGAGUGCUCCCGCUUCCUGAGGCAUUUCUGCACCUUAAGCACACACAUUCUUCCCCACAGCCAGGGCAGAGCCCCCUUCACAUUUCUACAAGAGGGAAUUUGGCUGUAUCUGUGUGAGAACGCUGCAAAACAGGCUGCUGCUGCAUGUCUGGGUCACAUUAACAGCAGCCCUGGCUUGGCUGGGCAAUAACCAUUCUCAAUCCAGACACCUCCCUUGUGAUGGAGCCGCCUGCCAGGGACCACAUCUAGAGCCUGGACUCUUUCCUGCACGGAGGGAAAAGCAUCUGCCACAAGACAGGACUCAGCAACAAGAGGUCCACAAGGUGACAAAGCCAGAGCUCUGCCUGGCACAGAGUCUGGAGACACUACUUGCAAUACCACAAUGCAUCCACACACAGAGCUCCUCUGGGGCACAGCAAUCCUGCUUGAAACAACUGGAUACAUCCCUCACAGCCCAGGAAACACAAGCCUUCACCCCUAAUCCCCCACAGCCCUUCACCAAGUUUGGUUUGAGUUCAGAAUGGGGCUGCAGAGGGUCUCCAAACCCCCACCCCCACACAGAGGGAGCCAACACGUACCUGGCCAUUCUUGCAGCCCGAGGCCAGUUUCUUGCCAUCCGGUGACCAGGCGAUGCUGAGCACCCAGUGCCGGUGACCUGGCAGAGAGAGCACGAGUGGGCAUGAGUGGAGAGCUGUGAUUAUCCUUAAUGUCCCAGCAGAAAGCCACUCCAAGGAAGUACAAGAUGGGGGGAACCCCCUGUGCUCCUCCUGGCCAGCCCCUCUUCUUCCACUUCGUCAAAGAGAGCCUUUCCCUCCCCAAGCCAUGGUUCUGCCUACACAGCUCAGGCAGCACCAGGCUCUGCUCUGCUUGUCCCCCAAGCAGGUAGGGGGUCCCUGAGGGACACCCCACACUCACCUUUGGCCGUGAACUGCGGUGUCUCCGUGCUGAGAUCCCAGAAGCGGACGGUGGUGUCUCCAGAUCCACUCGCCAGGUACCUGGGAGAGGAUGAAGACCCCAGCUCAGCACAGUGUCCCCAGGAGAGGACAAGAGCAGUUGCUGCCGAGCCCCGAGCCCCCUGCCUGCAGGCAGACCCUCGUACUUUCCGGUGGGGCUGAAGGCCACGGAGAUGACGGCCUCGGUGUGCCCCUCGAGGGAGCUGGUGCAGCGCGUCACCGCCCGCACCCGGAACACCGCCUGCGGCUGGUAGAUGAUGUCCAGCACCUUCUCCGUCUCCACGCUCUGCCCCGCCAGGGUCUUCUCCAGCGACGCCACAAUCUCGGCAUCGUGGACGAAGAAGGCCAGAGGCACCGGCUCAUCCUGCGGGAGAAAGGGCAGAUUUAGCAGCAAGAUCUUUGUACCACAUGGGAGGAGCGGCAGCAGAACAGCUAUUCCUUCUCACCAGGAUUUGCAUCUUCAGCCUCACAAGCCACAUCAGACAGAGUUAAAUCAUAUCCUGCAGACACAGUGAAGCUGCAUUUUCCAAACUCCAAAGGACACCAUGUGUGAGCAAGAAACUGCAGGAGCAAUUUGUUGCAGAUAAGGAAUAACCACCAUGCACAAGGAGGAGCAGCACAACUCACACCACUGAAGAGAUGACAUGGAACCAGCUCCACAAAGCUAGAGCCUCCUGACUCCUCAGUCAUGAUGGAUACCACGGAAAUGUUCUGGAAACACACUGCCAAUACUUAAUUCUCUCACAAAUAGUAUUGCUUAACCAUCACCAAAGCUCGGGCAAGCAACUGAUGGGGAGAUAACAGUUUAAAAAGCUGUGAUGGAAGAGUGUUUGGGGGAAUGUUUAAAAAAAAUAUUAUUAUUUUUUUAAAGGAAGCUCCGAAAGGAAGUGAAUGAGGAGAUCUGUUUAAAACAAAAAUAAAGGAACCCAAGCAGUACA
This is a long non-coding RNA of Pipra filicauda (Wire-tailed manakin), 13750 nucleotides long. RefSeq lists it as uncharacterized. The record is from RefSeq and is a predicted model, not a curated record. The transcript has 3 exons. Lineage: Eukaryota; Metazoa; Chordata; Aves; Passeriformes; Pipridae.